CCUGUAAGAAGUGAAAACAAUGUGUCAAAAGCUUUGGUUAUAUAUAUAAAUUGGCCUUUGGUACAGGAUUUUUCAGGCCAUUCUUAGUUACUGGAACUUGUAUCAGAGUGUCCAACACAGAUAUGUUCAUUUUCCUAAGGUUUUACAUAUAUCUGGAGGAAUAUGCUAGAAAAUUCUAUGCUAUUUCUGCAGGUUACUAACUUACUCCGACUGUUUUUUCUUCAAGUAUCCGUGUCUAAUACCCAACAUAUUUUGACAUGAGUAUUGAAUACAAUUCUCCAAAUAUAUGAAAAUUUUCAAAAAAAUAUAAGAGUUCACUUAUAUUGGAUCACCUCGGAAUUCAAGUUGAAAGUGAUUGAAUGGGACUUACCGGGAAUAGGAGAAACAUCAUCCCCUUGAUGAAGAACCCAGGCAAGUGCAAGUUGUGCCGGUGUACAUCCAUGCUUUCCAGCCAACUUCUCUACUUUCGAAUAUAGGAUCCUAUUUUGCUCCAAGUUUUCUCCUUGAAACCUUGGGAACACUCCCUUAAAAAAUAAAUGUUUGUAAUGAGUCAACCGAUCUGUUUUUUUUACAACUUAGAAGCAUGUUACUAUGUUAUCCGAAUUCUUUAUUUUCUUUAAUUACUCAUAUCCAACAUGUCUCUGACACAUAAUUGGAUAUAAGUAUGAGAGUAACAUCCUUCAAAUAAAUGAAAAUGAAACUUAAAAAAUGUUUUUUUUACAACUUAGAAGCAUGUUACUAUGUUAUCCGAAUUCUUUAUUUUCUUUAAUUACUCAUAUCCAACAUGUCUCUGACACAUAAUUGGAUAUAAGUAUGAGAGUAACAUCCUUCAAAUAAAUGAAAAUGAAACUUAAAAAAAACUGAAUAUAUUCAUGUCGCACACAUAUCUGUAUCCAACACUUACUCCUGAACCCAUAUAACAUAGAUUAAGUAUAGGUUAAAGCUAUAUAAAGUGAGUUUCCAUACCAGAGAACUAUUAGAGGUAUCCUCCUUCGCUUUACCGGCAAAGAAACCAUGACCAAGGGGACUAUAUGCAACAAUCCCAAUUCCGAGUUCCCUGCAUUGUUGAACACAUUUAGGCAGACAUAACCUCAGAGCAGUUGAAGGACUUAAAACAGUUGAUAACUUGAGAAAAGACAAUCAAUAAGUGAAUUUCAAUCUAUUUGAGCAAAAGGGUAUAUUUAUAUCCCUCCAAAUAUAUAAAAAAUUGAAUAUACCUAUAUUCGAAAAAAAAAAUUACGAUGAUUGAAGAUAGAAGAAUAAACCUGCAAAGGGGAAUUAGUUCUUCCUCAACAUCACGAGUCCAGAGCGACCACUCAAGUUGUACAGCAGUAAGAGGAUGAACAGCGUGUGCCCUCCUUAUAGUUUCGGGGCUAGCUUCAGAUAUGCCAAUGUACUUUAUUUUUCCCUCUUCCACCAACUUCUUCAGUUCUUCCAUCUAUCAUACAUGAAAUAAAUAUAAAUUAUGCUUAAUUUUCCCAUAAACAAAACAAAAUUGUAUUUGUGUUAAAGAAAGACAAAAUAGGGUUUUUAAUGCAGCAAUGCUUACGGUAUCUUCUAUAGGAGUCUUGCGGUCAACUCUGAUUAUAUAGUAAAGAUCAAUAUAAUCCACAUCAAGGCGUUGAAGGCUAGCCUCAAGUGAAGAACGAACAAAUUCAGGAGUGCCAUUGAUAACCGGACCAUCUGGACCCAUGCUUUCAACACCGAAUUUUGUAGCCAACUGUACCUUCUCUCGUGGCAGAUGCUUCAAUGCCUGCAAAAAAAGAAAUGAUGUUGAUUUCCCAGAUUCCUUUAACGAGCCAAGAACCAGAAUGAAAACAUUAAAUCAUAUCGAUUUGAUAAACUAAAAAAUUCCAUCUCUCACGCAUAUCUUCGAAUAUGUAAUAGACACAAGAGUGUGGGAAAUUGAGAACAUGAAAGAAUCGCUCUCAGUUUCAAUGUGAUUAAGCUUGAAGAGAUGACGAAAGGAUGUUACCUUUCCGACCAGAAUUUCGUUAGUUUUGGGUCCAUAGAAGUCGGCUGUAUCGAUGUGAGUGACUCCUCUUUCGACUGCAUGCUUAAUGAUGGCUAUGCCAUCUUCAGCUGACACUGAAUGAUCGUGACCUGUAAGACUCAUACACCCAAAUCCCAGCUUUGAAACCUGCAGCAACCAAAAAAUAAUAGAUUUUACCCCCCAAAAGAAAACGCCAUUUUCUUAACUAAUAUAAACUAGUAGGAAACAAAAUCUCAAACCUCAAAUCCUUGAGUUCCAAGUUUCACUCUAGGAAUCUCAAUUGCCAUCUUUUGUUUCCUUUUUCUUCUUCUUCUUCUUUGUGUGCUAUAAACAAAGGCUUCUCUGAUUACUGAACCUCUCAAAACUUACAUUAAAUAGAAAAUUUUGAGGUCUUUAUCCAGUAUCUUAUCUUGUUCUCAGCUUUGUUAACAUUCUUACGUCAUUAAGUAUGUCAUCCCAUAUGCCUCAAUUGAAUGAGUGGAUAAAGCUCUUUUUCAGACACGUUUGACACUGUUUAAAUUGGUUAAAUAUAUCAUUUGGUACCUAAGUUUGAUCUUUUUUCUAAUUUGAUAUUUGUGUUAUUUUAAGGUAAAUGACAAAAAUGGUCACUAAAUUGGGGUGAAAUUUCCUUUUUUGCCUCUAAACUAUGAAAAGUUACAUUUUUAUCACUAAAGUUAUUUACUUAUAACAUUUUUAUCACUCGUCUGUUAAUAGAAAAGUGAGGUGUGGUACAUUAAUUUAAGGAUUAAUAUCUAAUUUGAUCAUUAAACUAUAGUUAAGAUAUAAUUUGAUAUUUUUAUAACAUUUUUAAUAAGAAAAAAAUAAAAAAAUCCUAAAAAUUUAUUAUUUAUUUUUUGAAAUUAUGAAAAUAUUUUUAAAAAUUGUAAUUAUGUAAAAAAAUUAUAAAAAUUUUAUAACAAGCAAAACACGUAUUUUACAAAUUAAAAGAAAAAUACGUUUUUAUUGGUAUAGCAUAAAACCAUUUUGCAUAAUAUCUUGGAUAUAAUUAAAUCUGAUCAACUCGUCUGCUACUGUAGCUUUCAGUGCUGAAAAGCAAGCCAAGCCUUUUCCUUUGAGCAGCUACAGGGAAACCGACAAUGAUUGAACUAUUAGACCCAAGCUGCGUUACAGCCGCGCAGCUCUACGUAAAGUCAUGGUCACGUAGUGCAAAUACGUAUUUUGUUUAUUAUAUAAUUUAUAUUUUUUUUGUUUUAUUUUUUACAUGAUUAUAAUUUUAAAAAAUAUAAUUUCAAAUAAAUGAUGAAUUUUCAAAAUAAUUUAAGAUUUUUUUAUAUUUUUAGAAUUUUUAUUUUUUUGAAAUUAUUGUUAAAAAUGUUAUAAAAGUACUAAAUUGAAUGUUUAAGCUAUAAUUUAGGGAUCAAAUUGGAUAUUAAUCCUUGAAUUAGAGGCCAAAAUAUUAUAAGUUGAUAACUUUAGUGACUAAAAUAUAACUUUUCAUAGUCUAGUAAAAAAAAUCACCAAAGUUUAAUGAUCAUUUUUAUAGUUUACCCUUAUUUUUAUUCAAUAUGAUACAUAUGCUUGACAAGAAAAAAAAAUGUCAUCUCAUAUUUUUUUUUGUUUGAUAUAACAUUUCGUACUCAAGUUUGAAUUUUUUUUAAUGCCAAAUCUAUGUUAUUUUUAUCCAAUAUAAUACAUGCAUUUAAAAAAAAUUUAUAUAUUUUCGUAUCUAAAAAUAAAAAUAUUAAUUUUCUAGAUUCGGGUUUUAAUAUUAAUUUAGUGAAAAAUAACUUCUAAUAUUUAAUGUUUGAAUUUUUCAUGAUUUUCUUAAUAGAUUAAAUUUAGUAUUAUUUGUAAAUUUGUUUAGUUUUGCAUUAAAUUAUUUAAAUACAACUUGAUGGAUAUGAUUUAAUUCAAGUUUUAGGAUCGAUGUGAUGAAAUUUAAUUGCUAAUAUUAUCAGCCAAUUACGAAUUUUCAUCCAACUCUAAAAUUCGGAUUAAACAUUAAAAAGUUGGCAUCUUUAACUUCAGGUAUCAGUUCUGGAAUAAACACUAAAAAGUUACCAUUGUUAGCUUUUGGUAUCAAAAUAUAUAACUUUUGUCAAAUAUAAGUACCAUUUCUAUAUAGACUUCCUCGUCAAUUUCAUCAACAAUGCAAGCUUACAUUUAAUUUAUAGUCUUUUCAAGUACAGCAGUAGUCGGAUCUGAUUGGACAAUGACUCUAAUUUCCUCUAAAAAUCCUUCUUGAGUUUAGCUCGAUUAGUACGGAUCAUUUGGGACCAACUUAUUAAAUUAGAUCCCAUAGCCUUUAUUUUUUCCAGAAAGGUACCGUUGGAAAGGUCCCGUGACCUCUCUGACCUCACCUUGGCAGCUUUCCUCCAUAACUCGAGAGGCCUCCAUUCUGAAAUUCCUUGUAGAAUUGGAUAGUCCAGCUCGAGAAAUAAAAUCUUCAGUACAAAUAUUAAUGUGUAGUGAUCCAACUGGGGUAUACCAGGUGCUGGACUGAGUAGCGUGGAAAAAGAGACCACCAGUUCAAGUUCGCCACACAUUGGUCUAGUCUCCCACAAACGUUGGUUACCAUCGUUAAGCCUUUUUCCCAUGUGAACUAAGGACUAUUGCAAACUCUACCACCCUGUUAGAAAGUGCAACUUAUCAUUGAAUUUUGAGUACGAAGGACAAGAGGGAAACUAAAUACUAUUUGGUGCUGCAAAUCUCGGACAAAAUCAGUUCCCUUCUCCUGGUUGUCUACCACAGCCAAUUCCAGGUUAUCGCCAAGCUCUUGGUUUUUUGAAACAGAGAAUUCAUUAUUCUAUGAUAAAGCCAACUCAUGGUCAACAUAGUCAGGUUUUCAAUCAGUAGCUAACUUGUUAUCAUGUCUAUAAAUAUGACCAACAUCCCCUUCUUUCUCAUGAUAAUGCCAUAAACCUAGGAUGUGAUCAUAAGCCUGUCCUGUCCCAGUGUGUCUCAAGCUAUGGUUAUGGCCUAACACCAGUUGCUGGUUCUGCUUUUAUUCUAGAUUGUGGCUUUGUGCAUAGAUCAUGUCAUGAUUAGCCAUUGAAUAAAUUAAUCACAGUGUUAAUUCACAAUGCAUUCAACAAGCCUUAUUUAUCAGCAUUUAUUUACAAAACAAAAUCACAUUGCUUUCAUUCAUUUACAUAGUUCUAACAUUAAAUUCAUUUAAAAUAAACAAGAAGUUGAAGCCCAAAGAAUGAAUACCCAAUGGAAAGAACAGCUUUAGCAAGUCCAGGAAAAUCAGACAAUGCUGAAUAAGUGCCUGAAACAAAAGCUAUCACCGUUGCAGUAAUCCCAUAACUCGUUAACAACGAAGUAAUAUACGUAUAAAAUGCAUGGGCAUCGAGUUUUUCCACAAACGAUUUGCAGUAAUGGAGGAACAUCGAUGUGGACGAGAAGCAAAAGGCCAACGCAUUAGCUAUCACAAACACUCUAAAAGCCAAUUUUCUGCUUAAAAUCGCCAUUCCUUCCUCGGGGCCAUCGCUUUUGUACCCACCGGGCGUGGUGAAACCCGCGGCGAAUGAGAUGAUGGCGAUCAGUGUUGUCACCAGUAAGUUUAUGCUGGCGAUGGUAUGGAGUUGAUCGGAGCUUGGUUUCUUGAUCGCUGCAGGUUCGGGUCUUUUGUUGGGAAUAAGUUGUGGUUGGGUUUCAAUGGCGACAGGGGACCAUGUUGUUUGUGGUUGUUCUUGAUUUGCUGUUGUCGAUUCAGUAGAUCUUGUUUUUCUUCCGUCCUUGUUGAUUGCAUGCAUGUUCUAAGCUUUCUAGACCUCUAUUGCUUGCAACACUCAUUGUAAUCCAAGUCAGUAAGUAGCUCAAUUUGAGAUAAAUAUCCAAUUAUUUGAUCUUUAGAUUUGAUUAUGCUUGUUUACCUAAUAAAAAAUUUUCAAGGAUUAAAAACUCCUCAAAUUAAAUAAGUAGAAAUAUUUUUCAAUUUUAUUGUUGCUUUAUAAUUUUGGUUGAUAUAAUAACAAAUUAAGUCUUUGAUGUUUAUAUAUUAUGUUAAUUUGAUUUUGAUUCUGAAUAAAUUAUAUAAAAAAGAUGUAUUUAAAUAUAGAUAGACUGUGUAAACUGUAAGAUUAAAUUUACUAUUAUAUUAAUUAAAAUUUUAUAAAUUGAUGAUGAAUCAUUAAUUGGUUUUAGAUUAAAAUAUUCUAUUUUUUUUGAAAAUUAUGACCCGUUUGGUUAUAUCAAAAUUGAGAGGGAUAUGAAGGAUAUUUUUACUGAUUAAAUAUAAAGUAAAAUGACACUCAGGGAUCAAUUCCAUUUUUUUAUUUUUCACUUACUCUUGAAUAACAUGAUACUUCUUGUGCAAGAGUUAGUUCGCUCAAAAUAUUCUUCAACGAAAUUACUUGAGAAGUGCACACUGCAGCAACUAUGUAUUUUACUUCACAUGUUGAAAAGGCAUUAAAUUUUAAAAAAUAAAGGUAUUGGGAUUAAAUUGAAAAUGUAUAAAGAGUAUAAGCACUUAGAACAUGUUUUGACUUUUAAAUUUUAUUCCAUAAUUUGCUCCAAAAAUUAAUUUAUUCCAAUGCGAAGCGUGGCAAGAACUAUACUAUAAUGAGUAAAUCACAGGGAUAAGCACUUCAAAUUUUCAAGAAAUUUUACAAUACUUAAAUCAAAAACUCCUAACAUUCAUAAAUAAGAGGAUAAUAAAUACUUAAGUACACUCAAAUCCUUUUGACUGUUGCAACAGCAGUGGUGCCAAUUGAUUUGAAGCUAAAGCAAUAAUUUUUAUAAAUUAUUUAAAAUUAAUUGUAAAAAAUAUAAAAUAUAAACUUAUUUUUUUAUUUUAUUUUAAAUUUUAAUAUAUAAAUAAUUAAGCGGAUGUUAACUGAGGUAUGACAUUAUUUUUAUUAUAACAAUCAGGACAAUGUGAAUUUAAACGGAAUUUUGAAUCAAAUAGUAUUGAAAAGGGUUUUCAUCAUUAUUUCCAUUAAUAUUACAAUCAUACUACAAGCCAAGCAAGUGCAGUACACCCUAAGGCUCAAACAAACCUUCAAAUUCUAUGAAAUUUUUUAGGAUUUAUUACAAACCAAGCAAAUGGAAGCACACACUAAGGCUCAAACAAUGAGGUAAGCACACACUAAGGCUCAAACAAUGCCUCAAUUUAUUAUCAACUUUUUUGCAGAGCUGGUAAUGAUAAUCGUAUGCCCCGUGAUAAUAUCAAUAUAUUACCAAGAAGGCAGUGAAGCAGCAGCCAUGAAAGCGACAAACUAUUCGUAGUUAUAAACAGUACAACGCGAGUUCAGAUCAGGCUUCCACCAAUGGCGAAGUUUAUGAGGUGAAAUGCUUUCUUCGGGAGGACUGAGAUUCUCUAUAAGAUUUGCCGAAGGAAGCAACUGAAGCGGCUCCGAAAUUGCAACAUCCAUUAUUUUCAGUUCUUUGAUCACUAUAUUUCUUAGUGAAUGAUGGCUUAUUAGUCCCCAAACUCCAACGUCGUCGCUCUUUCUUCUCUUCUUGAAAUGUUCAAUAUCUCCUUGACAUGUGAAGUCUCUACUAUUCACAAACAAACAUGGGUUCCACCCUGAUAUUGCAGCAAAUGAAUCUUCAUCACCACUAUAUCCCAAAGCAAGGACAACGCCGCCUUUGAUAACAGUGAUUGUCAGUUGAAGUCCACGUAUCACAUUCUUGUUGUCUUUGAAGAUUGUCUCAAUUGGGAAAGAUGCAUAUGGCGGAUUAAACAAAAAACUUUACAAGAAUUUGCCUCUUUUCACCGUAUUCUUUCCAGCAAGCAUUGCGAUGGCUGCCCCUAGGGAAUGACCAGUUAACCAUACCUUUGAAGAACCAGCCUUUGACACCCUAUCUUCAACAUAUUUCAUGGCGGUCCGAACACGACUAGUUUGAUGAAGUGUAUAGGAUUAUUGCGAAAUCCGACUCAAGAUCCCUUUUCCAAGUUUCUCGUUUGAAUAGGGUACCUCGAAAGGCGAUCACGUAUCCAGGGCCUGGAUUAGUUGCCGAAGGAAACACAUAUUCAAGAAUGGCACCAAAGAUGCUUUCAUCAUCCUCAUGGACGAGCUCAUUCACUAACUUGAAGUUGAAAAACUCCCACCAUUGUGGCGCAAGUGUCUCAGAGCCUCCACGUAAUUCCACUUGUCGGUCACGUUCCCGCUCGGAAACACCCUUGACCAAGCUGGCUGAUAAGGAUCUUCGAUGGCUGUCGUCGUUCCUAUCAAUGGUGGUAAGGUUUUUGGGUCCCACAAGACUAAAAGGUUCUCUUCCACGAGACGUAUAUUAUAGCACUGGAAACUAUUGACGUGGGUACGAGGGCUUUGGGUGAUGUGGGUUUCAGGCUAUAUGGUGGUUAAAGCAGGUUGUGCAAUGGUGACUGUGGUCAGUGAUGUGACAGCGCUGGCGAAUGGACCCGCGGAGCUUGGUCUGGGAGCUCUUAAAUAGAAAAUCUUGAUUAUCCAGUAUCUUCUCUUGGUCUCAGCUUUGUCAACAUUCUUACGUCAUUAAGUAUGUCAUCCCAUAAUGAGUGGAUAAAGCUCUUUUUCAGACACGGUUUAAAUCAUAUGGUUAAAUAUAUAUUUAGUUUUUUUAGAAUUUAUAUUUGAGUUAUUUUAAGAUAAAUUAUAAAAAUGGUUAUUAAAUUGAGGUGAAUUUUUUUAUUAUCUCUGAAUUCUGAAAAGUUAUAUUUUUUUAUUAAAAUUAUCUACUUAUAAUAUUUCGAUCAUUCGUAUGUUAAUAAAAAAGUGAAAUUGUAUAUAUUAAUUUAAGGGUUAAUAUUUAAUUUCAUCAUUAAACGAAUUAAUGAAUGACAAUGACUAUAUUGGGCUAUAAGUAACUUGUUUUAGUAGUAUGUUAGUCAAUUCAAAUGAGAGAAAAGAAGAGAUCAAGAACUAUAUUAGAACAAUAAAAACAUACAUUGAUUAAACAAUAGCUACAACUCUAUUCGUCCAAGUAAACACGAUACAAAAUAUGACGCAACACCAUCAUCAACACUGAACCCUCCAUUAAUGACAAUCCAAAGCUUUAGUAUGUUUCUUGGGAAAUCCAUUCAUCCCAACACCCAUGAAACUUUGCUUCUAAACCUAGGCGCUCUUCUUUGGUGGUGUAUUGCCAUAUUUCCAAGUGAAUUGCUUUAAAUCAUCAGGAUAAGUACCCCCUGCAACCUCUUGGAUUGGGAUCGCAUCUGAAAUUUCUUUCAAAUCUUCUUUUGUCAGCUUUACUUUCACUGAUUCAAUGUUGCUGUCUAGAUUUUUAAUCUUGGUUGUUCCUGUAAGAAGUGAAAACAAUGUGUCAAAAGCUUUGGUUUUAAAUCUCAAUGCAAACUGGCCGUUGGUCCAGGAACUUGUAUCGGAGUGUCCAACACGGAUAUGUUCAUUUUCCUAAGGUUUUACAUAUAUCUGGAGGAAUAUGCUAGAAAAGUCUAUGCUAUUUCUGCAGGUUACUAACUUACUCUGACUGUUUUUUCUUCGAGUAUCCGUGUCUAAUACCCAACAUAUUUUGACAUGAGUAUUGAAACAAUCCUCCAAAUAUAUGAAAAACUUCAAAAAAUAUAAGAGUUCACUUAUAUUGUAUCACCUCGGAUUCCGAGUUGAAAGUGAUUGAAUGGGACUUACCGGGAAUAGGAGAAACAUCAUCCCCUUGGUGAAGAACCCAGGCAAGUGCAAGUUGUGCCGGUGUACAUCCAUGCUUUUCAGCCAACUUCUCUACUAAUAUUUUUUAUAUUUUUUUUAUAAAAAUCAAUAAAUAUUUAAGUAAGAAAUGGACAUAAUUUAAAGUCGAAUUUUAUAGUUAUUUUUUCUUGCUUUAUUUUAAGUAUUAAUUUAAUCUAAGUUUUUUUAAGUCUUCAUUAGCUAUAUUCUUGUACACAAGUUGAGAGAAAUUAUUAAGAACAAAUCUAUUGGGUUGAUUUGGGCAUCAAGUAUAUUUUUAUCUUAGCCGCAAAUUAAUUUUUACCGGUACUACUAAAGUUGAUCAUAAUCUAUUUAGUCUAGAUCUAAACCUUAAUUUUCUGAUAAACAUGUUAAUUUACAUGAUUCUUGUGUUUAAUUUGGCUUAUUUCUGAAUUAAUCCCUGCUUAAUUGGUGUUUUUAUGGAUUAAUCUUGCCAGGGAUGCAAUUGAUCAAAAACGAGCAAAAAGGUCAAAUUGAAAGACAAAUCGUUGAGUUGGGGCCAAAUCAUAAAGAUGAGAAAGCUAAGGAUUUAACAUCAAUUUUGACUUUGUAAAAAGCUAAAAAUAGGAGAUAUUAUUUUAUGUUAUUUUAUUAUUUAUUAUUUGUUAUUUAUUUUAUUAAUUUAGCUUUAGCCUAUUUUUAGUAAACCCUAUCUAUAUAAAUAGAGACUUUUAGUUCUUAGAAAAUCAUCUCUUGUUUUUGUAUUCCUACUUCUAUUUGGAAUAGAAAUACUCUUUUUUUUUCCCUUUUCAAAUUGGAGUUUAGCAUUCUGCCACUUUUUCACUUGGUUUUGUUUCUUUUUUAAAAUUGGGCUAAUUGCCUUUCAAGCGUUUUUCUUUUACAAUUUUCAUCACCAUAAUCAUCAAUCUUUUUUUCCAAACUCACAAAGCAUGAACAAUUUCAUGCUUAACCAAAUUCCAUCUUAGCUUUAGGCCGGUGUUCUUUCCGGUCAAGAAUCCUGAGAUUCAUACUUGCACCUAAAAUCUUUUCAAUCGGUAUUCACCUUUUUCCUAAGUAUCGGGAUUGACAACUCAUCCUUUAAGGAUAAUUCGAUUUCAAGUCAAAAAGAGCUCGUUGGGUUGGAGUCGUGUUUUGUGACAGUUGGAGAAACGAAUCAACCGGGCUGUAUUUGGAUCUCCGAGAACAAAUCGAGGAAGAGGUGAUCAGGUUUAAACGACCCACGCGGUUGAGGCCGUUAAUUCGAGUUGGGUUCUUCAGAACGCAAGGCUACCGGAAUCUUGAAUCGAGAACAUGUGUAUCUCUGUUAGAUAAUCGAUAAGGGUUGGUCUGCAUGUAAUACCCCUACCCGUAUUCAUUGCCGGAAUAGGGUACGAGACAUUACCGGAGUUUACGAAUUAAAUUUUUUUUAUAUUCAAUAUAGCCCCUUUAUAAAUAUCUAACCUUCCCUGCAAUAUUAAAUCGAGACCAAUCCACAUCAACCAAAUCAAUUCAACAUAUUUUCAAGAUAAACUCAUUCAUAUUUAUAAGAUAACGUCAUCACAUAUCUAAAACCAGGUUUGUUAACCAUACUAAUGGCUAACUUUACAUUCAUUUCACGUUAACAUUUACUUUGUUAGCUUAUACAUGCCAUUGAUUUCCAAAAUAAAGUUUCUUUAUAUACCGACAUCCUGAGUUUGACAGUGUGAUGUGUCUCCGACCAAAUCCGACCUCCGAGCUCUUAACACUACAAAACAGGGAAAAAGGAAACGGGGUAAACACUUCGUGCUUAGUAAGCUCAUGUAAAAAGAAUUAUACUUACCUAAUAUUUUCAAUACAAUACAAUAAACAUCCAUAUAUCCAUUCAAUGCAUUAUUACGCUAAUAUGCACAAACUCAACAUUCAAGUUAGUACAAUAAUUUCCAUGUACCAAUAAUAUAUAUCAUGAUUGAUGAGCUCGUCAAUACCAUGAUUUCCAUUUCCUUGCUAUUUUUCCAUAUUUAUCCCGUUGAAUUUAUCGGAAUUUCGAUAGAUUUUCAGAGGUACACAUUUAUUGUACAAUCCCGGGUCCGUUAAUUCAUAUUCAUGUGCGCACAUAUCCAUUUCAGAGAGCACACUCCCACGAGCCUCAACCUUGCAGCGGGAUUACCAGUCCAGGCUAAAUCCCCUGCAAUAUAAACUCAUAGAUUAUUGUCGGGAUUACCAGUCCAGGCUAAAUCCCCUGCAACGACAAUUACUCUAAUGAGCUUGGAUCUGAAUUACCAGUCCAGGCUAAAUUCAGACCCUAAUUCGGAUUACCCGUCCGGGCUAAAUCCAUUUUACACAUAUUUUUCGGGAGGGCUAUAUCAGGAUAGGAUCACCCGUCCGGGCUAGAUCCUUUUUACCGUUAAUUCCUUUUCAGAGAUCCAUCGAAUUUUCCUUUCAUUCAACCGAUAUUUCUUCCCAUUUUAUCAAAUAUAUCAAUGUUUCAUUAAUUUUCAUACAAUGAACACUCAAAUCAUAUUCACAUCAAUAACAUACAAUCUCAGGCAUUUAAGAAUAUAAUUCAAGUUACACGAACUUACCUUGAUACUUGUUUGUAAACAAUAAAAAUCUACUAAUCCCGAACUUUUUCCUUUCCUCGAUCUAGCUUCGUAUUUGAAUCUUCCGGAUCUAAAUAAAUAAAUUUAAUUAUCAAUUUAAUACAUUUCAUGUUCAUAUGCAACAUUCUCUAUGAUUCAACUAUUAUUUAUAGUUCAUUCAAAGCUGUCUACUUGAGUCAUAGUCACUAAAUUAUUUAUAACUUGAGCUAUGGAACUCCAAAUUAAGAUCCAUUAAUUUUUACUGAAACUAGACUCAUAUAUAUUUUUACCAUAAACUUUUCAGAAUUUUUGGUUUAUCCAAUAAGUACAGUUUAUUCUUUAAAGUCUCCCCUGUUCUGCUGUCGACAGUUCUAACCCUUCUUCACUAAAAAUUAAUUAUCUCUUCAUACAGAAUUCAAAUAAUGUUCUCGUUCAUUUCUAUUAAAAAUAGACUCAUUAAGGAUUCUAUACAUAUAAAUUUAAGCCCAUAAUUGUUUUUCUUCAAUUUUUUAUGAUAUUUCAAAGUCAGAACAGGGGAACCCGAAUUCAUUCUGACCUUGUCUCACAAAAUUAAUUAUAUCUCAAAAUUUACAAAUCCAUUACUUACACUAUUUCUUCUAUGAGAAACUAGACUCAAUAAGCUUUAAUGACAUAUUUUUUUCAUCUUCUAAUUCGAUUUUUACAAUUUAUGGUGAUUUUUCAAAAUUAGUCUACUGCCGCUGUCCAAACUGUUUUUGUGCAAGCUGUUUAUUACCAUUUUUCCCCUAAGCUUUUAAUAAAUGAUAAUUUCGUCCCUACUCAAUUAGCCUAUCAAUUGAGCUGAUUUUUCUCAAUUAACAUUUUAUUCUAUCACCUUAAACUAGUUUACAACCUUUAGGAAUUAGAAUUUCAGCAAUAGACUUUAAUUCCAAGCAUUUUCACAAUUAGGUCCUAAAAUCAAUUUCUAUUGAAAUUACCUAAUAAAAUCAUCUCAUAAACAAAUUAAAGCUUUAAUUUCAUUCUAUUUCAUCAUAAACUUACAGAACUCAACCAUGGUGACUUUCAAUUUCAUCCAUGAAAUCAAAAACUAAUGAAUUUAAUAGUAGGACCUAGUUGUAAAAGUCUUAGAAACACAAAAAUUACAAGAAAAAGGCAAGGAUUAACUCACUUGGUGCAAAAAUUAUGAAAUACCAGCUUAGAGAACCCUUCUAUGGCGUUUUUAGCUGCUAGAAUUGAAGAGAAAUGAAGAGAAAUCUAGAUAUUUCCUAUUUAGUCCUAGUUUUAUUUAGUUAAUUUUGCAAUAUUCCAAUUUUACCCUUAAUUUAUCAAUUUUUCUGCUGAUUUCAUACCCUUGCCGUCCAGCCCAAAUAACUUUUGGGUCUAAUUUCCUUUUAAAUCCUUUCUCAUUAGACUUUUAAGCUAUUUAAUCAUUCUAGCAACUUUUACACCUAUUACAAUUUAGUCCUUUUCAUUUAAUUGACUACCCAAACAUUAAAAUUUCCUAACGAAAUUUUAAAACCACAUUAAUAACAUUUCAUAAAUAUUUAUAAAAUUAUUUUUGACUCGGUUUUACGAGAUAGAGGUCUCGAUACCUUGUUUUUACCCAAUUUCUUCAAUAAUUUCUUUUUCUAUCUAAUCACUAAAUCGGUAAAAUUUUUCUAUCAAUAUUUUCAUACGAUUUUCCUAUCAUAUCAAUUUUCAUGAAAAAAUAUUGAAAUAAAUUUCUCUUUAAAUCGGAUUUGUGGUUACGAAACCACUGUUCUGAUAAUUUUGAAUUUAGGCUAUUACAUUGCAGGUUGUACUGAGUCCAGCUACGAGAGGAAGAAUUGGUGGUUAGGACGUUCUUAACCACUAUAACCAGCUUAUCAUUUUAAGGAGAAGAUCAAUUUUUGAGGAUCGAUUCUCAACACGGAAUUUACUGAGUCUAAGGCUAAGGCUCAUUACAUUUGAUUGCAAAUCCCAAUUUAAUUUCUGAUUUAUUUAAUUAUUUAUCUUAGCAGUUUUGAUUAUUUAAUUUCUAAUCAAUUUUAAAAUCCCCCGCUUUACUUAUUUAUUUGCUUAUUUUUUAGCUGGUACGUUUUGAGUCGUGGGCACGAAUCUAGCCACGACCCUUGACACGACAUUCUGUUCAUAAGCCAAACUCAAAAGUUGAUUAGAGUACCAAUCCCUGUGGACUCGACCCUACUACCACUCUUCCUACUAUCCAGAGUAUUUAGUAGGAACUAUAUUUGGUGAAUUCGACGCCCAUCAAAUUUUGGUGCCGUUGCCGGGGAUUAUAGAUAUUUUCUAACUUUUGUUUGUCUACCUUAUGACCAGAUCAGAACAGGGAAAUCUAGAGUUUGAGCCAGAAAUUGAGAAAUUGGCCCGACAACUACAAAGAGAAGCCAUAUGACAUGGUAAACGGCCAAAUCUCGAAUUUGAAACUAUAUCUUACACCGAAGAAGUUUUUGACGAACCAGACGAGAUGGCCGAACAAACUAUACGCCAGCUCGCAGCAGCACCGGAUGAACAACAGCCCUUAUGUAUAACCUAUCCAGUAGGAGGAACGCCGUUCGAGCUAAAGUCGGGUUUGAUCCACCUACUACCCACUUUUCGUGGAUUACAGAAUGAAAACCCGCACACCCACCUUAAAGAAUUUCAUAUGGUGUGCACAAGCAUGAAGCUUCAGGGAGUAACCGAAGACCAAAUCAAACUUCGUGCUUUUCUUUUCUCACUGGCCGACUCUGCUAGAGAGUGGCUAUUUUAUUUACCUCUAGGAUCUGUCAACACAUGGUCUGACAUGUCUCGUUUGUUUCCUGAAAGGCUCUUCCUUGCAGCCCGAGUGACCAAACUAAGGAGGGAUAUCGUAGGAAUCCAUAAGAAGGACACUUAAUCGCUCUACGAUUACUGAGAGCGAUAAAAAAAGUUGUGUACGAGCUGCCCACAACAUGGAUUGACUGAGCAGUCACUCUUGCAGUAUUUUUAUGAGGGUUUACUCCCGAUGGAAAUGAAGAUGAUAGAUGCUGCAAGUGGAGGGGCACUCGUUAAUAUGACACCCCAGAGAGCGAGAGAGUUGAUUUCAACCAUGGCUGCCAACUCUCAACAAUUUCGACCGGUUACAAAACCUACGAGACGGGUUCAUGGGUUAAGUUCUUUGUCUCUAAAAGAUAAGAUUGAUAAGCUGACUAAUGUUGUUUAAACUUUACUUUCAGAUAAAACAGGCCCAGUACGGUUAUGCGAAAUUUGCGCCAAGCCAGACUGCCCGACGGACUCAUGUCCAAUUUUACAAGAGGAUUCGACAGAAUAAGCGAAUGUUAUCGGGAACUUCCCAGGACUACCCUAAAAAUGGUAUGACCCUUACUCGAACGCGUAUAAUGUGAGGUGGAAGGAUCGCCCAAAUCUCAACUAUGGGACAAAUUUGCAGUUCAAUCAACCGUUCCAACAAAGGCCACCGCAGAAUCAACAGAUACUACCCCCAAAGUCAUCUUUGGAGGCCAUAGUGGAAAGGUUAGCCAACAGUACUGAGAAUUUCCAAUAAAAAAUUGACAUGCAUUUGUAGGAGUUGGACAAGCAAGUGAGCAAACUCGCACUCACAGUUAGCCGUUUGGAGUCCCAAGGUAAGCUGCCAUCCCAGACUGAGCCAAAUCCACGACACAAUGCAAGCGCUAUGAUGCUAAAGAGUGAUAAGGUUUUGGAGCCCGUACAUGAUACAAGUCGAGGCCACGAUACUAGUCGCGCCCAUGACGCUAGUCAAGAUAGGGAGAAACUUGGCACAGAGGCUCUAGUGGAGUCGAGACCACAAAAGUCAUUUGCAGUACCACCUCCAUUUCCCGGACGACUUGUCCAAUGUAAGAAUGAGCGAGACGAGAUGGAGAUCCUAGACACCUUCCGAAAGGUGGAAAUCAACAUACCUCUUUUCGAUGCAAUUAAGCAGAUCCCACGAUACGCGAAGUUCCUGAAAGAGUUAUGCACGAGUAAAAGGAGACUUUUGGGAAAUGAAAAGGUAAGUGUCAGAGAAAAUGUCUCUGCCAUUCUGCAACGGAAAAUACCGCCCAAAUAUAAGGACCAAGUUAUGUUUUUCAUAUCUUGUAAAAUAGGUAGCGUUGGUAUUAAAAAAGCAAUUUGUGACCUAGGCGCAUCAAUUAAUGUUAUGCCUUUGUCAAUUUAUAAAUUACUUAACGCGGGUCCUUUAGAGGAAAUAAGCGUGAUAAUCCAGCUUGUAGAUAGAUCUGUGGUGCAUCCGGAGGGAGUAUUACAGGACGUUCUUGUCAAGGUAAACGAGCUAAUAUGUCUUGUAGACUUCUACAUCAUCGACAUGGAGGAUGACAAUUCGGCCAAUGCAUCAGACAUACUUCUUGGAAGGCCAUUUUUGAGUACCGCACAAACUAAAAUUGACGUAAGAAGUGGGAUACUCACUAUAGAGUUCGAUGGGGAAGUAGUAAAAUUCAAUGUCUACGAAGCCAUGAACCGUCCUAACAUGAUUUCUAAUGUUUCUAAUAUUGAUAUUAUUGAUCCUUUAAUUGAGUUACAUUUGGAAUAUCAUGACAAGGAUGAGUUACAAACUGUCUUUUGCAGGAGUUUUGUGACAGCCUUAAUUUUGACCCUAGUCGGAAAGUGGUUUCGGGACCACAAAACUGAGUCAUAAAAAUAAUUAACUGUUAAAUUCUAUGUUUAUUAUAUGUGUAAAUGCAUGUGUGAAAGUUUCAUGCUUUGAUUUUGUCAUUUGUAUAUGAAAUUUAUAAGAUAGGACUCAUGUGAUAAAACUUGAAAGUGUGAUAGGUAAAUUUUAAAGUGCCAAAUAAUGCAUGAAAUGUUGACAUGAGGGAUUUGCAUGUCAAAUGGACCAAUUUUGUUAGUGGCCGGCCAUAAAUGAUGGUUGAUGUAUAAUAUAUGUUUUAUUUAAGUAUUAUAAUAAGUAAUGGCUUUAUUUUUGAAAUAAAUUAAUUAGUAAAACAAUAAAAGAUGAUAAAAAAAAAUAGAUGUUCAUCUUUCUUUCUUGAUUGCCGAAUUUGGGAAAGAAAAAUAGUGAAGAAGAAGCCAAGGCAUUCGGCCAUGGUUAUCUCCAUUUAAAGGUAUGUAAUGCAAUUUUUAUUUGUAAUUGAUUAUGAAAUUAAAUAGAUAAAUACAUAGCAUAGUUAACCCAUGGUUUAAAUUCAUGAAUCAAUGAACAAGUGUCCUUUUGGCAAGUGCUAAAUUGGUAUUAUUUUGAUAAGUUUUUGGAAAGAUGUUAGUUAUAUGUUAAGUAGCUUAAAUGAUGGUUGAAUAAGUAGAAUUCAUGGUUGAAAAGUAUGAAUUGAAAUUGCCGUAUGUGUGUAUAUGCAUUUUGGAAAGAAAAAUGUUGUUGUUUAGUUGAGUUUUCAUUUGAUACGUACAUUCAGUCAAAAGGGGGGGAGGAAUAAGAUGAAUUUAAAAUGUUGUGGUUUGUUUUUAAAGUUGGUUAAAUAGUUGUGGUCAUUGCCGAAUACAUUUGUGUUAGGGGAAAAUAUGAUUAAGUAUCGGUUUGAUGAGCUAAAUAUAUAUGUAUAUUCGGCUAUAUAAAUUUGAUGUGUACUUGAAAAUAUAAUAACCCUUAAGAGAUUGUGUUUGUGUAUGUGAACUAGAUGUUUUAUGGAUAUUCGGCUAAAAGGGUAAAUGGCUAAGUCAUAGGAAUUGGGGUGAUAUACAUUAGGUCAUUGGGGUUAUAUGUACUUGGUAAUGUGAGUUAUGUAUUAAGUAAGUUAUUUCUUCGAAAUGUAUAUUCGGUCAUUGUUUAGCAUAGGUGAAACCUAUGUACAAUUUGCUACAUUUGAUCAUAAAAUGGAAUUUGUAUAUGAAAGCUAAGUUUGAGUGGUUAGGGCCGAAUGUGGUAUAUGAGAUAUUAAGGCAUGUUAUGAUUAUAUAUAUGUGUGUAUACGUGGUUGUGCAUAAAAUGAGUAAUUGAUUAAAUUGUGUUAGUCACACAUAGGUAUAUAAAAAUAUAUGCCUUAGGUAAGUACCUUGUAACAUAGAGACAUUCGGUUAUACAUAUAUGUAUAUAUUAUAUAGAUAAAUUCGUGUAAAUAAUAGGCAUGAUAUCGAGUCAUGGUACAUUUUAUAAAACUUAACAUGUAUGGAAGUUAUAUGAUUAUCAAAUGUGAUUAUUAAAGAAUUAAAGUUGAGUAGGUAAUUAAACAAAUUCAAUUGUUUAAUUUUAAAGCUCAAGAGCAAAGAGGAAAUAAAUCAGAUAAGGGGAAGGAGAAAGCAAUCGAGUAGCCUAUCCGUAACUGUUCAAUUAUACCCGAGGUAAGUUUUGAGUAGUUUCUUUUAGUAUGAAAUUGAUAACGCUUUUAUAAGAGUAUAUUAAGUGAAUUGAAAUCUUUGGUUUGUUCUUGAUUAUAGUUGUAUAAUAAAUAGUGUAUGUAUACCAUUAUAGUAUAAUGGUCACUUUGGGUUUAAUAUUGAAUGGUGAAAUGAAUGUGUGGUAUUAAGUAUAACUCUUGAGCCGAAAUGUGAAUGAUGAUGUGCAUAUUGAGCUUAUAUCCGUAUGUAGUAAAUGAUUACUAAAGUGAUAGGUUGAAUGAGACAUGUUAAAAUAUGACUAAGUAUGCAUGGUAUUUGAAAUAUAUCCGGACAUGAGGUCUGUAGGCUAUAUGCUGGGAAUAUAUCCGGACAUGAAGUCCGCAGGCUAUGUGCUGGAAAUAUAUCCGGACAUGAGGUCCGCAGGCUAUGUGCUGGAAAUAUAUCCGGACUUGAAGUCCGCAGGCUACGUGCUGGAAUGGUACCCGGGUUAAAGACCCGUGGACUUGUGUUAUAAAUGUGUUUCAAGUUCUAAGACUUGACAGGACCGAGGCCAGUAAGUUAAGUAAGACUACGAUAUUGAAUGUCCGUGGUAACCAUCAUCGAGUAAGUAACAUAUAUACUUUACAUGUUAACGUACGUAUUAUGUGCUCAUAUGUGAAUUGAUUUCAAAAUGAUUUAUUAGUAUCAAAGAACCAUGUAUAUAUAUAUAGGUGUGUGGAUGAAUUCGGUAUUUUAGGAUAAGACAAUGACAUAUUCGGUCACUGUAAGUCAUUAUAGGAAAAUAUGUGACUAAACGUAAUUGUAUAAACCAUGUAGAUAAUGAAACAUGUGCUAGAAAUUUUCUUGUGUAUACAUAAAUACAUAUUCGGCCAAUAGAAUUUAUAACUAGUGUACUUGUGUAUAUUUGGCCAAGUGAAUUACAAUUAGAAUACGAGUUUUGUGAUAUUUAAUGUUCGUUUUAUAUGAUACGUUUUGAUUGUUUGAGAUGCUUAAAACUUACUAAGCAUAGUAAUGCUUACUUUGGUGCCUUAAUUCUUUGUUUUAUAGAUCUUGUUCGUCAGCUACGGUCUCGGGGAUCUCAAAGUCGAAGUCGUCCACACUAUCUAAGCCUUUUGGUACUCUAGUAGCUAAAUUUCGAUAAUGUAUAUAUGCAUAGCCAUGCGAAAAUGGCUUGAUAAGUUACUAUAUGUGUUCCAAAUGGUUAGUGUGAAUGUGUGGUUGAGAUUUGAUUAAUGUUUUCAAUGUUUGAUUUGAAUUGAACUUAAGAAUGAAUCACUAUACCUAAUUAUCUUGAUAUGACUCUUUUGUAUAUGGUAAUAAUCUUUAACCCUCUGGCGACGGGUACGGGUUAGGGGUGUUACAAGUUUUGUAACAUCUCCUAACCCUAUACCAUCGCCGAAACAGGGUUACAAGACAUUACCAGUCCGUACAGUCCAAUUCUGGUCAUUAAUUAAAAUAAAUAUUCACACUCAUCCUAGUUUUAUGAUGUCGUCCCUUUAAUGGGCCCUCGCAGUCCAAUAUGAACAAUAAAUUCAAUUCAGGACUAAUUUAGAAUCACUACGAAUUUUUAGUAAAUUUCAAAGUUCAUAUUAUAUACCGUUGCCAACCAUAAUUUACUUAUUUCAUCAAUACUUCUACAACUUAAAUGACUCUCAUAAAACAUCCUAGGUACAUGCCAUUACCAAUACUCGACAUACAUUACCUCAUUGAAUUCAGAGUCGGCCUGGGAUGCUGAUUCAACGGUCUAACCUUAACUUAACCUACGCACGAAAAUAAAUCGUACGCUGAGUAUACACUCAGUGGUAUUUCUAUAAUCUGAACACUUAAACUGUAAUAUCCUGAAUUAGGGAUUAAUCGGAAUAGUGGUUUCGUGACCACAAAUCCGAGAUAGAAAUAAUUAUUUUAUAAUUAUUUUGAUGAUUAUAAUAUGAUUGCAUGAUUGUGUGAAAAUUUCGUGAUGAAAUUCUAUGCCUAAAAUGCUUAAAUUGAAAGUAGGGACUAAAUCGAAUAAGUUGCAAAAUUUGCAUUCUAGAAGUUUUUAGUAUGAAAUUGCAUUGAAAUAUUAAUUAGGAGAUCUUAAAUAGCAAUUUGACCAAUUUUAAGUUCAUGGACAAAAUUAGGACAUGGAAGGAAUUUUUAGAAAGUUUAGUAGUAAGGGCAUUUUGGUUAUUUAGUUAUUAAAAUGAAUUAAAAACAAAAUUAAAAGCCAAUUUUUGUCCAUCUUCUUCAUUAGGCCGAAAUUUCAAGGGUUCACCAUAGUUAGGGUUUGUUUCAAGCUUCCAAACUCCAUAAUCAAGAGAAACGAGAUUCAAGUCGCGAUCGAGGAAAAGAAAAUAUUGUGGACUAAAUUGCAAAAUCUUUAUAUUUUGGUACCAAGGUAAGUUCAUGUGUAAAUAAUGUAGCAUAAUUGUUAUUUUUAAGUUAUUGAUGUUAAUUAUAUGAUAUGCUGAUUUUUAUAUGAAAUAUAUGCUUUGUGGUUAUUUUCGAAUAAAAUGCAAAUUAUGUGUAUUAAUUGUUAAAUAUAAAGUCCUACCGAGUAUUGGUUUUGGUAUUUUACAGAAGAUGGCAAGGAUAUGUGUUCGAGGAAAAUCCCGUUUGAACCUUAGGAAUAGAUUAGGAUACAAAUGACAUGUCACUAGGAUGGUUGAGCAUCCAAACUCGUUAAGUUGAGUCCGAGUUCACUUAUGGAUGCGAAUGUCCGAACUCGUUGAGUUGAGUCCUAGUUCGUGAAAUGUAACUAGGCAUCCGAACUCGUUGAGUUGAGUCCGAGUUCACUUAUAGAUGCGAACGCCCGAGCUCGUUGAGUUGAGUCCGAGUUCACUUAGGGGCAGGUUACGUGAUUUCUUGAUUACACAUGAGGCACUUAUGUGCAAAUUAUCCGUGUAUCCGAGUUGUAUUCCGAUGUGUUCAACGGGUGAAAUUUCUAGUGAAAUGAAAGAACACUUAAGAUGCAAGCGACGUAUUGGUAAGUGUUGUGAAAUGGACACUUUGGGCAGGUAUGUUCUUAACCCUCGGGUUGAUAAUAGAUACAACAACGAUAAGGUGGUAAGAUGAUGAAUGAUGUUUAGAAAUAUGACAUAUGUUUUGGUGAUACCAUGCUAAAGUUGUUUGGUAUAUUUGUAUUGUUAUGUUACUUGUUAUUUACAUAUGAACUUACUAAGCAUUUAUCCUUACUCCCUCCUCUUUAUUUACUGUAGUUUUGAACAAGCCAGCUCGGGAAUCGGGACGGGUUGAAGGUUCGAUCACACUAUCUAAAGGACUUUCAUCUGGGUAAAUGGCUUGUAAAACUUAAGUAUGGCAUGUAUAGCAAUAUACUUAUUUUCUGUAAAUAAUUUUAUGAUAUGGCCAUGAUUGGUUGAGAAAAUGUUUGAUAUUGAUAAGUCAUGGUGAUGGUUAAAUUUAGAUCAUGUUUGAUAUCAUGGAAGUUUAAUAGGUUAUCUAGUUCAUAACAACUCAUGAAAAGAUGAAAUUUGCCUUAAAACAGAAUAUUACUGCAGCAAUGACAUGAAUUUGAAAAAUUACUAAAAAUAGUAUAAAUAGAAAUAAAUGAUGAGUAAGUUAUAAAAUUGAAGAUUAAUGACUCUAUUUUCAUGUGGAUUGAACAAAACAGGCAUAUAAAUUAUAUUUUAUGAGAUAUUUAAACUUUUGUGAAACAGGGCCAGAGUGAUUUCUGGAUCCCCUGUUCUGACUUUAAAAAUUCAUAAUAAAUUUUACAAAAAUGAUUAGAAGUUUUUCUUUAUAUGUACAGAUUCCUUAUUGAGUCUAGUUUUAAGAGAAACAAACGUAAUAGUCAUUUAAAUUCUGUAUAGAGAGAUAUCUGAUUCGUAAUACACAGAGGUCAGAACAGUCGAACUCUGAAACAGGGGAGACUUUAACUAAUAAACUGUACUAAUUGGCCCAACCAAAAAUUCUAGAAAAAAAUUAGUAAAUAUAUUUAUGAGUCUAGAUUUAGGGAAAAUUUACGGAUUUUGAUUUCGAGUUUUGUAACUCGAGAUAUGAUUUUUCUUGUAACUGUGACGCAGGUAGCUAGAACGCUGUGAAUGUAGAAACAAAUGAUUUGAAGUUUUUAAUUUGAUAAAUUAUGUUCGGUAACUCCUCAAGCUCGACUCCGGCGACGGUUUCGGGCGUGGGGGCGUUACAUAAACAAUUAUAAAACAUAUUAAUUUAUAUAUAUUGAACUAUUCAAACUCAAUGAGAAUUCAAACAUUCAUUUUCCAACCAAUGUUUUGGUCUACUUUAAAUUUCAAAUCAUUUAUUAUUUUUCAAUAGCAAUUAAUCAAUCAGUAAUGUUCAUUAACACUCAGAACAAUUAUUUAUUCAGUAACAGUCAGUUAUUCGGUAACAAUCAAUUAUUCAAUAAUAACCAGUUAUUCAAUAUCGAUCAAUUGAUCGGUUAUCCAGUAACAGUCAAUUAUUCAGUAAAAUCAGAUAUUCAGUAACUAUUAAGGUAUUUAGUAGCAGUCAUUCAUUCAGUGACAAUCAGUUAUUCAGUAAUGAUCAAUUAUUCAGUAAUAUUCAGUUAUUCAGUAAUAGUCUAAUAUCCAGUAACAGUCAAUUAUCCGGUAACAGUCAAUUAUUCAGUAAUAAUCAGUUAUUUUAUACCUUUAUUUACCCCUAUUAACAUGACUCGGACUCAGACAGAUACACGGAUCCAACCAACACACCAGUACGGCACAUAGUGCCUCAUCGGCCGAAGCCGGAACAAUAAUAGUAACAGUAGCAGUACGGUACAUAGAGUACCUCAUCGGAACAAAUCCGGAACAGUAACAGUAACAGUAACAGUAUUCAACACACAAAGUACUGAAUCGGUAACGGUAACAGUAACAAUAUUCAACACACAAAGUGUCGAAUCGGUAACGGUAACAGUAACAAUAUUCGACACACAAAGUGCCGAAUCGAUAACAGUAGCAGUAACAAUAUUCGACACAUAAAGUGCCGAAUUGGUAACAGUAGCAGUAGCGGUAACAGUAACGAACACAUAAGUGCCUAAAAUACGGCACAUAAAGUGCCCGAUCGGUAAAGUCGAUAAAUCCCGUACUCUUCCAAUCCUAUGGCAUGCCAAUUAUAUCUGACUAGCCCGACAAGUUAAUAGGAAAUUUAAUUCUUAUUCCAAUUUUACUUAAUAUUCAUGUUUACCCCUAUUAACAAGACUCGAACUUUGGCGGAUAUACCGAUUCCAACCAAACACACCAGUAUGGCACUCAGUGCCUGAACACUUCUAAAUCCUAUGGCAUGCCAACUAUAUCCGACUCAGUCCGACUAGUUAAUAGGAUAUUCAAAUCAUUUUUCUAUUUCAAAUUCGCUUUCAAUUUAAUCACAAAUUCUCAUAUUUCAAUAUCCAACCAAUACACAUUUCAAUUAAUCAUAAUUCCAUUCCAUUCAAUUCAAUUCAAUUCAAUUCAAUUCAAAUUCACUUAUCCACUUUCUAAUCAAUAUACAAUUAAAAAUCAAUACAUAUUUCAGAUAUUCACAUAUAAUCAUACUUCGAUUUAAUUCCAACCACUUUUCAAUCAAUACACAAUUCACAUAUUUACACAUAUUCAUAAUUUAUUUUAUUUUUAUUCAAUUCAUAUUUUUUAUUUAUUUAUUGUCCAAUCAAAUUUAAAAUCACUAAUUUCUUUUCAAUCAAUAUACAUUUCAAAUAAUCACAUUCAAUUCAAUUUGGUUCAAUUCCAUAUCAUCCAAUCAAAGCCAUUCCAAUAUUAACUUCUCAUGUAUUUUAUUUGUUUCACUUUUCCAAUCAAUUUACAUUUUAAUUUCAAUUUCAAUUCAAUAACAAUUCACAUAUAUCCAUAAAUCAAUUCAAUAUAAUCAAUAUUCAAUCCAAUUCAUAUAAUCAUCUCAAAACACCUACUACAUAUAUAUAUUAAAUAAUAAAUCCAAUAAUUUAAGUAUUAAGUUCGGAUUAUAAAAAUACAAACCAUAAUUUCCGAGCUAACUCCCGUUGACUUUGUCUUGUCCUUUCUUAGCUGAGAUUUUCGGUACCACAUUGACUACGAAAUUAAUACAAUUCAUAAUCAUUAAUACAUUACUAAUUUAUAUCUUGAGUUACAGAAUUCUAAAUUAAGAUCCGCUAAUUUCUCCUGAAACUAGACUCACAAAUCUUCUUACCAUAAAAUUUUCAGAAUUUUUUGUUUAGCCAUUAAAUACAGUUUAUUCUUUAAAUUCACCCCUAUUCUGCUGUCUGACAGUUUCGAUCCUUCUUCACUAAAAAUUAAUUAUCUCAUAGUACAGAACUCGGAUAAUAUUCCCGUUGAUUUUUCCUGAAAAUAGACUCAUUGGGGAUUCUAAACAUAUAAAUUUAGCCUCUAAUUAUUUUUAUUCAAUUUUUGGUGAUUUUCCAAAGUAUGAACAUGGGAACUCGAAUUCAUUCUGACCUUGUCUAACAAAACUCAUUAUAUCUCAUAAUUUACAAUUCAAUAGGUUACACCGUUUCUUCUAUAAGAAAUUAGACUCAAUAAGCUUUAAUUCCAUAUUUUAUUCAUCCUCUAAUUCAAUUUAUACAAUUUUUUUUAUUUUUCAAACUUAAACUACUGCUGCUGUCCCAAACAGUCAUAAUGCAAAAUGUUGAUUUUCUUUAAUUUCAAUUUAAUCCUAACUAAAUUCACUUACUUUUCUAUCUUAAUUCAUACUUUAUUUCUACUCAAUUUUUAACCAAACUUAGACAAAAUUAUCUAUUUUUCAUCAUAAAACCAUAAUUUCAAAAUUCUUUUAAUUUAGUCCUUAAAGCAUAAAACUUAUGAAUCACUUUACAAUUCAAUCCUUAUUUCAUUUCUAACUUGAAUUUCUAUCAAUUUAGCCCUUAAUUCAUCUUUUUAUUCAACUUAAUCAACACAUAAAAAUUCAUUAACUUCCUAAUUUUUGAUAUAAUUCAUGUAGUACUCUUCUCUAGAAUUCCAUAAACAUCAAAAUUAUAAGAAAAGUGAUCAAAUUGACUUACCUAGUAAAGCUUAAGGCUUCAAAAACCCUAAUUUUCCUUUUAUUUUUCUUUCCUUCCUUUCUUUCCCCUGUUUCGUCUGCUUCUCUGUUUCUUUUUUUUUUUCUUUUGUUUUACUUUAUAUAUAUAUAUAAUAUAAUAACAAUAAUAAUAAUAAUGACUUUAUUAAAUAUCUACUUAAUAUCAAAUAUUUAUUUUACACUUGGGUACACAUAUAUUAUUACAUUCGUAUUUCAUCCUCACCAUACACUUGUCAUUUUACAUUUAUUUAUUAUAUAAAUAUAUUAUAAUAUAAUUAUUUAUUUAAUAAAUAUCUCUCACUAAAUAAUAAAUAUCCAUUUAAUAUCAAAUACAUAUAUUAAAAAUUUAUGUAUUUUUUUAUUAAUACAUAUAUUAAUAUAUUACCAUACACUUUUCUUUAUUUAAUCUAUUCAUCAUAUAAUAUCAAUUUAAUAAUAAUCAAUACAUUAGUUAUUUACUUAAAUAAUAAGUAAAUACAUACGUGUAUUACAAAUGUAUGUAUAAUACUUAUUACACAUGUAUUUUAUUUUUGCCAUACACUUGGCACUCCUUUGGCUUAUUUACUUAUUUAGUCCUUUCAAUUUUUUUAUCCUAUAAUUAAACUUUCACACUUCAUUCAACUUAAUCCUUUUAUCUAAUUAUCCUUUAUUUAAGCUAAUUUGCUUCAUUAAACUUUAAUUAAUCACUCUCUUAACUUCGUAAAUAUUUUUAAUAAAUAUUUACAAAUCUAUUUUUCAGAAACGGAGACCCGGAAAUGCACUUUUUCGAUAACUGUAAAAAUUCGGGUCAUUACAAGUUUGGACUUUGAUGCCAUUAAGAAACUUGAGGAGAGGAUAACCAUUGAAGAUUCUACUCACGAAAUAGUACUCAUAUGGAGGCAUUGCAACUAUGGAAAGCUUCAGGUAAAACCUUUGAAUUAUCUCCCUCACAGACUAAGCUCGUACCAUCUGUUUUGCAGGCUCCGAAGUUGGAACUCAAACCACUCCCAAGCCACUUGAAGUAAGCUUUUCUCGGUGAAAAAAAUACACUACCAGUGAUAAUAUCGAGUAAACUCAAGAGGGCAGAAGAAGAAAACUUGGUACGAGUCCUUAGUGACUAUAAAAAGGUAAUUGGAUGGACAAUAGACGACAUUAAGGGGUUGAGUCCCUCGACUCGCUUGCAUAAAAUUCAAGUGGUGGAUAAUGCUGUACCUAAAAGAGAGGCUCAAAGGCGUCUCAAUCCGCCCAUAAUGGAAGUGGUAAGAAAAUAAGUCCAAAAGCUACUUGACGCCGGGAUGAUCUAUCGCAUUUCCGGCAGUAGUUGGGUUAGCCCAGUCUACGUAGUACCAAAAAAGACGGGUGUGACUGUAAUUGAGAAUUUGGCAGGUGAGAUGGUUCCCACUCGGGUCCAAAACGGGUGGAGAGUCUGCAUCGAUUACAGGAUGUUGAAUUUCUUAACUCGAAAAGAUCACUUUCCACUUUCUUUUAUUGACCAGAUGUUAGAACAUUUAGCUGGAAAGUCUCACUAUUGUUGUCUUGAUGGUUACUCAGGGUUUUUCCAGAUUCCAGUGGCACCAGAGGAUCAGGAGAAGACGAUAUUUACAAGCCCAUUUGGCAUAUUCGCUUACAAACGGAUGCCAUUCGGACUCUGUAAUGCACCAGCCACUUUUCAGAGGUGCAUGGUAAGUAUAUUUUCAGACUACGUUGAGAAAAUUAUCGAAGUGUUCAUGGACGACUUUACUGUAUAUGGUGAGUCCUUCGAGGUAUGUCUGACUAACCUUGCAAAAAUUUUGGAAAGAUGCUUAGAAUUUAAUCUUGUUCUAAAUUAUGAGAAAUGCCAUUUUAUGGUAGACAAUGGAUUAGUUCUAGGUUAUAUUAUUUCUGCAGAGAGAAUUUCUGUCGAUAAAGCAAAAAUCGAGAUCAUUAACUCACUACCAUACCCCACUACUGUGAGGGAGAUUCGAUCUUUCCUUGGUCAUGCAGGUUUCUACAGGCGGUUUAUUAAAGACUUUUCGAAAAUUGCGCAACCCCUUUGCAACCUAUUACAGAAGAACAAUGAAUUUGAGUUUGACCAGUCAUGCAAAGAAGCGUUUGACACUCUCAAACAUAAGCUCGUUUCGGCACCUAUUGUUCAACCACCGAAUUAGAGUUAUCCUUUCGAGAUAAUAUACGAUGCUAGUGACCAUAGCGUGGGAGCAGUCUUUGGAUAAAGGAUCGAGAAGGAACCACACGUUAUCUCCUAUGCCUCUAAAACUUUAAACGCCGCGCAAAUCAAUUAUUCAACCACUGGAAAGGAGUUUCUAGCUAUAGUCUUUGCCUUAGAAAAAUUUCGUUCAUAUUUAUUAGAAACUAAUAUUGUAGUUUUUUUUUAUCAUGCAGCCCUCAAAUAUCUGAUCGGGAAAAAGAAAGCAAUACCUAGAUUUAUAAGGUGGAUACUACUUCUGCAAAAAUUCAAUCUCAAAAUAAAAUAUAAAAAAGGAUGUGAAAAUUUGGUGGCUGACCAUCUGAGCCGAAUUCCUCUAUCAACGGACGUAACACCACUUAAAGAUGAUUUUCCGGAUGAAAACUUACUUACUGCCCAGAUGAUUUUUCUUUGGUAUGCAGACAUGGUAAAUUAUCUUGCUACAGGUAUGGUUUCUCCUAACCUUUCGCGAUAUGAAAAAGACAAGAUCAAACGUGAGUCUUGAUACUAUAUUUGGGAUGACCCCUAUUUUUGGAAGUACUGUUCUGACCAGGUAAUUCGCCGAUGCAUUCCUGAAACUGAGGUAAAAUCCAUUCUAUCCUUUUGUCAUUCUUAUGCAUGUAGUGGGCAUUUUGGCCCCAAACAAACUGCGCAUAAAAUACUUGAAUGAGGACUAUAUUGGCCAAAUAUUUUUGUGACACAUAUCUGUUUUCUAAAACUUGCAAAAAGUGUCAAAAUGUAGGAAACUUGAGACGAAAAAAUGAAACGCCUCUAAACUCUAUACAUGUCUGUGAAAUUUUUGAUAUAUGGGGCAUUGAUUUUAUGGGCCCUUUUUUCUCAUCGUUCGGUAAUGUUUAUAUUUCACUUGCUAUUGACUAUGUGUCAAAAUGGGUAGAAGCAAAAGCCACUCGUCGUGUUGAUGCCAAAAUAGUAGUCGAUUUUCUGAAAAGUUGUAUUUUUUCCAGGUUUGGCACACUGCGAGCUUUGAUUAGCGAUCGAGGGACGCAUUUUUGCAACAAAGUAAUUGAUAUGCUCUUGAAAAAACAUGGAGUGGUGCAACGAGUCGCUACAGCUUAUCACCCACAAUCGAACGGUCAGGCGGAAGUGUCGAAUCGAGAAAUCAAGUUGAUUUUGGAGAAGACCGUUAAGCCAAAUAGGAAAUACUGGAGUUUGUGACUUAAUGAUACAUUGUGAGCUUACCGAAUAGCUUAUAAAGGAUCUAUAGGUAUGUCUCCUUAUCGACUAAUUAUUGGUAAACCGUGUCAUCUUCCCGUUGAGUUGGAACAUCAGGCGUUUUGGGCGGUCAAACUAUGCAACAUGGAAUUGGAAGCUGCAGGUAAGUAUCGUAAAUUAAAUAUCCAGGAACUUGAGGAAAUUCGACGAGAAGCGUAUGAGAGUGCCCAAAUUUACAAGGAUAAGGUCAAAGCGUACCAUGACCAAAAGAUAAAUCGUAAACAAUUUAUGGUAGGCCAGAAAGUAUUACUUUAUGACCCUACAUUAAGAAUUUUCGCAGGUAAGCUUUGAACUAAGUGGUUGGGGCCUUUUAUUGUUACUCACGUAUUUCUACAUGGUGCAGUCGAGGUCAAAAGCGAAGAAUCUAAAAAAAUUUUCAAAGCCAACGAGCAGCGAUUAAAACCUUUUUACGAAAACUUCUAAGUCCACUUGGUUGAAGAAUUGGUUCUCGAGGAGCUGGCUGAAUAAAUUUACAGGUCAUCAAGCUAACGACGUUAAAAAAAAGCACUCUUUGGGAGGCAACCCAAAUUUAUUUUUAUUUAUUUAAUUUUUAGUUUAAGAAAAAUUUAGGGUGUAAAUAAAUAAACUCCUAUUUUACUCAGUCAAAUUGAUGUUUUCAGGAACAUUAUGGAGGCCGUGAAUUCUCAAGAAGACGAGCAUGAUGGUGGUGUGGGCAUGACUUGCUAAUUGAAAAAAAAAAACCAUCUCUGAAAUCGAUUUCUCGUCUUUGACAUGUACACGAACUGCUUGUGAGAAUAUGGUUUUUCGCCAACGCCCACAUUUUGCUACUCGAGAACAAGAGAAACAACCUCCGACUGUAGAGGCCCGUUUAAGCCGAAUUGAGGCUCGACUUGGAACAAUGGAAACCCAAGUCUCCACAAUCCUCGACAUCUUACAGAAUCGUUACUCCCAACACCAACUACGUCAUUAACAUAUAUGGGGAGUAUUCUUCACUUUUUCUUUUUAUUUUAGGCUGCUAACUUUUAUUUCAUAUAAUAUAUGCUUGAGGACAAGCAUAGUUUAAGUAGGGGGGAUGGAUGGAUGGUAAUGGAUGGUAAAUAUGCAUGCUUUUUGCUGCAUAUCUCUCUUUUGCAUGUGUUCAAUCUUACAUUAAGUUCAUUCGACAGUUUAUUUAACAUUGAGCCUUUAAUCCCAUACUUAGUUAAUUUGGAAAAUUGGGCAAAAUUUGAAUUAAAAUGUUCAAGUAUAUAGGUCAGUCAACAUUUGUGUCUUAAAAUUGAUAUAUGUAGCUUGAUUUUUUCCAUAUAAAUUGAUUGUUUGGAAAAUUAUAUUUGCUUGUGCAUUAAUAAAUAAGUGAAUAAAUAAAGGUUCAAGUUAUGAGUGAAUUUUCGAAAAUGUGACCGGAUUGAGUAACCGGGGUAAAGUUCUUGUGUUGUCAUCUUAUCUCGUGUAAAAAGGUUCGAGUGACAAGUCGAUAACUUAUAAACAUUCCGCUAACUGAGCUUUAUUUUAUAAAAUAUAUAUAAUAAAUAAAUAAAAUUUAAGACGGUUUAAACUGAGUAACCGGGAUAGGGUGCUUGGGUUGUCAUCCUAGUUCACCUUAAAAGGUUUGACCACGUGAAUAAUUUUUUCUAAUGCAUAGUUAAUUAAAUAAUGCCAUACAUUUUAUCGGAUUCAAACUCAAUUUAGUGAAAUUAUUUAGUCCACAUGUUUCAAUUUUAUGACAUUUGUUGAUCAAAUUUUAUAUCUUGAGCAUUUAUUUAUUUUUGCCCGUCGUUGUUUACAUUGAUUAUGUAGCAAAAAGAGGCUCGAUUUUUCAUAAAUUGUAGAACAAAUUUAAUGUUUGAAAGAACAAACAUGCUUGAGGGCAAGCAUGAGCUAAGUAGGGGGAGUUGAUAAACAUGUUAAUUUACAUGAUUCUUGUGUUUAAUUUGGCUUAUUUCUGAAUUAAUCCCUGCUUAAUUGGUGUUUUUAUGGAUUAAUCUUGUCAGGGAUGCAAUUGGUCAAAAACGAGCAAAAAGUGGUCAAAUUGAAAGACAAAUGUUGAGUUGGGGCCAAAUCAUAAAGAUGAGAAAGCCAAGGAUUUAACAUCAAUUUUGACUUUCUAAAAAGCUAAAAAUAGGAGAUUUUAUUUUAUUUUAUUAUUUAUUAUUUAUUAUUUAUUUUUAUUUUAUUAAUUUAGCUUUAGCAUAUUUUUAGUAAACCUUAUGUAUAUAAAUAUGGGCUUUUAGUUCUUAGAAAAUCAUCUCUUAUUUUUGUAUUCCUACUUCUAUUUGGAAUAGAAAUACUCUCUUUUUUCCCUUUUCAAAUUGGAGUUUAGCAUUCUGCCACUUUUUCACUUGGUUUUGUUUCUUUUCUAAAAUUGGGCUAAUUGCCUUUCAAUUGUUUUUCCUUUCCAAUUUCCAUCACCAUAAUCAUCAAUCUUUUUUUCCAAACUCACAAAGCAUGAACAGUUUCAUGCUUAACUAAAUUCCAUCUUAGCUUUAUGCCAGUGUUCUUUUCCGGUCAAGAAUCAUGAAAUUCAUACUCGCACCUAAAAUCUUUCCAAUCGGUAUUCACCUUUUUCCUAAGUAUCGGGAUUGACAACUCAUCCCUUAAGGAUAAUUCGAUUUCAAGUCAAAAAGAGCUCGUUGGGUUGGAGUCGUGUUUUUUGACAGUUGGAGAAAUGAAUCGACCGUGCUGUAUUUAGAUCUCCGAAAACAAAUAGAGGAAGAGGUGAUAGGGUUUAAACGACCCACACAGUUGAGGCCGUUAAUUUGAGUUGGGUUCUUCAGAACGCAAGGCUACCAGAAUCUUGAAUCAGGGACACGUGUAUCUCUGUUAGAUAAUCGGUAAGGGUUGGUUUGCAGGUCGUACCGGGACCAGCUACGAGAGGAAGAAUUGGUGGUUAGGACGUUCUUAACCAUUAUAACCAGCUUAUCGUUUGAAGGAGAAUAUCAAUUUUCGAGGAUCGAUUCUCAACACGGAAUUUACCGAGUCUAAGGCUAAGGCUCAUUACAUUUGAUUGCAAAUCCCAAUUUAAUUUCUGAUUUAUUUAAUUAUUUAUCUUAGCAGUUUUGAUUAUUUAAUUUCUAAUCAAUUUCAAAAUCCCCCGCUUUACUUAUUUAUUUGCUUAUUUUUCAGCUGGUACGUUUUGAGUCGUGGGCACGACUCUAGCCACGACCCUUGACACGACAUUCUGUUUAUAAGCCAAACUCGAAAGUUGAUUAGAGUACCAAUCCCUGUGGACUCGACCCUACUACUACCACUCUUACUACUAUCCAGAGUAUUUAGUAGGAAUUAUAUUUGGUGGAUUUGACGUCCAUCAUUUUCAUUUUCAAAAUAAUUAACAUCAUCAAGUUAAUACAACUUGUUGACUAGACAAGUAAGUUAAAUAAGCACAUAACUAAAUCAGAGGCGAAUAAGUGGCGGCUGGCAGGUCCUUGUCCCCCCUAAAAUGGAAAAUUUCUAUUUAGGCUAUUGAAAUUUUUUUAAAAUUUUAAAUUAAUAAAUGUAAAAUUGUACUUUGCCCCCCUAAAAUUAUAAAAAUUUAACUUAAUCCUUUAAAAAUUAUAAAGAUAUAGACUAUAAAAAAUUAAAAUUUUAUUCGGCCCCCUAAAAAUUUGUUCUAGCUUUACUCCUAAACUGAAUAAAUAAUUAGAAAAUAUCGAAACAAUCGACGAGAAAAUUGAUUAAUUAACUAGGAAAUAUAAUCCAUUAUUGUUUUAAGACAAUAAAAUCUAGUCGUGUUGAAUUGAGAAAAUCACACAAAAAGAAAUUUAAAACAAACUUGCAUAAAUACAAAGUAAUAAGAAAUAAUAUAGAGAGAAAAAUAGUUAUAGAAAAAUAUGACCCUCUUUCUCACGCUAUUACUAAUUAGUUAAGGUAAACAAUUACUUUAUCAUUAAAGAUUAUUGUAAACAAGUUUUGUACUUUCUGGGUGUUUUUAUGAUCCGGUUUUAAGAUUAUCAUCAAGAUCUUCUGAUGUUGGAAUCUUUUGCCUUGGAUUGAUUUGAUUUUAGAUGAUUCACUAGUGGUGUCAAUUGGUCAUAUCUAUUGCAUUUCGAUACUUCCCUUCAGUUUCCUAGCAUUGAUUAGUCACAGCGAAACACUGCAAAAACCAAUAUUCUAACCGUAAUGAAUGGUGGAUGAUUGUAUGUUGUUAUACAAAUCAGUAGCAAGCAUGCAUCCAUGCGGGGGUUGCCCAACGAAUCAGUGAUACCACCCCGCAGCACAUCAGAAGUGCUUAUAGUCAAUUAAGAUUUUUCACCAUAACCAAGUAUCUAAAGAAACUCUCGUAAUGGUUCAUUUGCAUGGAUGCAUUAUGUUACCCUUUUUCGGAGUGAUUCGUCUCAUCGAAAUUCUAUAAAAAGAUCCAUCAUCCUAAUCGGAAUGAAUGAUGAAUGAUUGCAUAUUGAUUUGUAAAUUCACUGGCAAGCUAGCAUCUUUUUUCCUAUGACAGCAAAGGUUGAGCUUGAUGCCCGUUUGAUGUUUUGCCCGCACAAAUUUUGGGGCUGAAACCUAUUGCCAAUUGCUGAAUAUUCUGUCAUUUUCUGCCUUUUUAAUGAAAAACCACGUUGGAACAAAGAAGGUUUUAGAUUUACAUUGGAGCUGCUAUGCUACCACGUAAACCAGAUAAACCCCGUGAACUUUUAGCCCUUUCAAUUUUGCCACCUCAGCUAUUAUCCUCUGCCAUUUCUGAACCACGGAUUCAGAUAGAUGAUGCAAAUAAGAGCUAUAUCAGCUCUCCCCAUCUAAGAAUUAAGACCCAUCAAAUCAUAUCAUUAAAUUUCAGCCCCAGAUAGGGACCCAAAAGGGCAAAAGUCCGCGACACGGAUGUUGAACAUGGGUGCAUUAGAAAAUCGAAGAGUUCGAACAAACAAUCAUAUAACCCAAUGAAGCACAUAAAGGACUGAGAAACAAAGUCAUUAUGAAUCCAAUACUCAAAUGCAGAAAGAAAUUUUAUUAUAUAAAGGCUAUGAAAGCCUAAGCAUAUCAACUUACAACAGCAAGCUAUUUUGGAUAGAGUGGAAACAUAAAAGCUUCCCCUUGGACAAAGAUCAUAGUGCACAAACUAAAUACGACAAAAUAAAUAAUCUUAAACUGAUAUUGGUUGAUACUUUUUGGAUUCAAUGCCAUUAGCAUAGCUAUAUCAUAAUAAAACUUGGUUCCAAAGCAAGUUUACUUCAUUCUUUGCCGUCAGCAGCACGAAGUGACCCGAGCUGGACCGGUGCUUGGGUUCCUACCACCUUAGAUGAUCCAUAAACAGAUAGAUCAAUGCCUUGAGCCUUCUCUUUCUCAAUCUGUUCCUUGAUCCAGAAAUAUGUAAUUCUCAGCCCAUCCUAUAAAAACAGUAAAACCAGAUGCGUCACAAGUGAAUCAGGAACUGAAUGAAACUAGGUAAUAACCGGCCAAAAGCAAUGACUUCAGACUUUUUUACUCUACAGGCAAUGGAGGAAAACCAUUUUCCAAAACCAGAGGUCAUAAAAAUCUUUUUAAACUGGGAAAAUCGUGUGGGGAUAAUAUAAUUCAGUUACCUUCAACCUCAUUGUAGGGGCCCAACCAAGUUUUUCUUUGAUCAAUGUAUUGUCUGAAUUACGACCACGGACACCCUCUGGACCAGGGAUAUGGUGGAUCGGAAGCUUUUUAUCUUCAAAGCUAAGCACAAUCUCCGCCAUCUCGUUCAUGCUAACCAUCUCAUCACUUCCGAUGUUCACAGGCUCACGGAAAUCGGACUUUGUCAAUCUGAAUGCAUAAUAUAGAGAAAGAUUGAUUAAUAUUAGCAAAUCUCAAACUGAAAUCAAGCGGCUAGUAAAUGCCAAAACAAGUGUCUAAAAGUUUUUCUUCUAAAGCAUAAAAUACAGUAUACAAUUUAAAUUCUAAUCACCAAAAUCAUAAUUUCCCAAAUUGCAUACUCAACUAGCAUAGCAAACUAUGAAACCAGGAAAUAUGCCCUAUUUGAUUCCUCAAUGUUUAUAUUAUAAGCCAAAUCCAUGCAGAUUUAACAUUUACUAAAAGCAAGCCCUUUAGUUUUUCUCUUCAAAUUUGUUGUGUAAAAUGAGUUUCAGCAGGAGGAGCUUUGAAAAUUGCCCAAAAACUUACCUAAGUACACCUUCAACACAUUCAUCAAUGAAAGUGAAAGAUCGAGUCUGAAGACCAUCUCCCCACAUCUCAAACUUGUCAAUGGAAGUAAUAGCCUUUCUGCAAAAGGCAGCUGGAGCCUUCUCCCUUCCACCUAUUAAGGUUGAUACAAGAAAAGAAAAAAAAUUAGUAAGUUCCAAAAUCGAAAAAAAUACAUAAGCACUCAUCAAAACUAAGGGUUUACCUUUCCAAGUUCCAAAAGGGCCGUAAAUGUUGUGGAACCUUCCAAUGCGACAUUCAAUUCCAAAGUCUUCGGUGUAAUGCUUGCACAACUCCUCUGUUGCAAGCUUCUCCAAGCCGUAAGCAUCUUGUGGCUAAAACCAAGGUUUAAAACACGACAAUCAGUAGUUAUAUUGGAUUAACUAAUAGAACAUAAGAUUACCGGAUAGUAUUUAAUGAAUUUGAGUCACAAACCUCAGCAGGCCAGGCAUCGGAUUCUUUCAAGCUCACAUUAGUUUCCAAUUGCUUAAAUUCAGGAUAGAUACAAGCACUGGAGGCGUAAAAAAACCUAAACAUACCAAGAUAUUGAGUUUAAACAAACUGUAAACUUAGUGGAAUUGCAAUGAAUGUAAGGCAAUCAUAUGAUACGAUGUACCAAUCCAAACAAACCUCUUAACUCCACUGAUUCGAGCAGCCUCGAGCAUGUUGAAACUGAUCAUUGUGUUGUUGUACAUAAUGACAGAGUGGUUGGACUGGAUGAAGCCCAUGCCACCCAUAUCAGCGGCAAGGUUGAAAACAUGAUCCACUCCAUUGGUAACCUUCAAGCAAUUUUCCAUCACUCGAAGAUCAACAAGAUGGAAUUCGUGACAGAACAUAUCUUCUGUCAUGUGCUCAUUCUUCUUCCAAUCAGAAGCAAUGAUGUAAUGUCCUUCACUCUUCAGACGUCGAGCGAUGUGCGAAGCGAUGAAGCCACCAGCACCGGUGAUGGAAAUUCGGAGUUUCUCGGAUGGCCAGUAAGGCUCCCUCUCCAGGGCAUCAUAGGUGUAAGCACCAUAGCUGGUCCCAUCAGUACUUCCCAUUCUGCAUAUGCUCAAUUGAAAAUUUACGCAACUUAUAUAGUACAAAAUAAAUAUAAAAAUUCAAGCUUUCAUGUAUCUAUCUAUCUAUCUAUAUAUAUAUACUACUUUAUCUAGUAAAUCCAAAUUAGCUGAAAAAAUUUACAUUAUCAUCCAUAUAAUUCACCAAAAAAUAUCCUAAUUCAGAACAAAAAUCAAAGAAACAGAUAACUUAAAUCCACCAAAUUUUAAAAAAGAAAAUCUUGCAAAGCAAAUCUUUAUGAACCCAAAAUUUUGUUCACUAAUAGCAGUAACUAAAGCACCAUAAAAACAAAAUCUUUAUGAAUCGACCGUGCUGUAUUUAGAUCUCCGAAAACAAAUAGAGGAAGAGGUGAUAGGGUUUAAACGACCCACACAGUUGAGGCCGUUAAUUUGAGUUGGGUUCUUCAGAACGCAAGGCUACCAGAAUCUUGAAUCAGGGACACGUGUAUCUCUGUUAGAUAAUCGGUAAGGGUUGGUUUGCAGGUCGUACCGGGACCAGCUACGAGAGGAAGAAUUGGUGGUUAGGACGUUCUUAACCACUAUAACCAGCUUAUCGUUUGAAGGAGAAUAUCAAUUUUCGAGGAUCGAUUCUCAACACGGAAUUUACCGAGUCUAAGGCUAAGGCUCAUUACAUUUGAUUGCAAAUCCCAAUUUAAUUUCUGAUUUAUUUAAUUAUUUAUCUUAGCAGUUUUGAUUAUUUAAUUUCUAGUCAAUUUCAAAAUCCCCCGCUUUACUUAUUUAUUUGCUUAUUUUUCAGCUGGUACGUUUUGAGUCGUGGGCACAACUCUAGCCACGACCCUUGACACGACAUUCUGUUUAUAAGCCAAACUCGAAAGUUGAUUAGAGUACCAAUCCCUGUGGACUCGACCCUACUACUACCACUCUUACUACUAUCCAGAGUAUUUAGUAUGAAUUAUAUUUGGUGGAUUUGACGUCCAUCAUUUUCAUUUUCAAAAUAAUUAACAUCAUCAAGUUAAUACAACUUGUUGACUAGACAAGUAAGUUAAAUAAGCACAUAACUAAAUCAGAGGCGAAUAAGUGGGGGCUGGCAGGUCCUUGUCCCCCCUAAAAUGGAAAAUUUCUAUUUAGGCUAUUGAAAUUUUUUUAAAAUUUUAAAUUAAUAAAUGUAAAAUUGUACUUUGCCCCCCUAAAAUUAUAAAAAUUUAACUUAAUCCUUUAAAAAUUAUAAAGAUAUAGACUAUAAAAAAUUAAAAUUUUAUUCGGCCCCCUAAAAAUUUGUUCUAGCUUUACUCCUAAACUGAAUAAAUAAUUAGAAAAUAUCGAAACAAUCGACGAGAAAAUUGAUUAAUUAACUAGGAAAUAUAAUCCAUUAUUGUUUUAAGACAAUAAAAUCUAGUUCGUGUUGAAUUGAGAAAAUCACACAAAAAGAAAUUUAAAACAAACUUGCAUAAAUACAAAGUAAUAAGAAAUAAUAUAGAGAGAAAAAUAGUUAUAGAAUUUAUGCCGAUUACUCCAAACCUCUUUUUCUUCUAUCUUUGCAAUCUUGAAGUUUUUUUUUGGUGUGAGAGAGUUGUUUCUUAGCCUCCAAGUGAUUUCUUUUUCUUUUCCUUCUUUUUUUUCCUUAAAUCUCAUCACAAUGGAUUGCUUGCUAUCAAAUUUCUAAAUUGAAGAGUAUGCAUGGUCCACUGCAUUGAAUUAAAUCCGGUGGAGCGGAAGGCUUCUCUUCACGACUUCUUACUCUAAACUCUAAGUUUUCCAUACUUCAUCCGAGGCCUACAAUAGAAAAAAGAAAAAUUACAAGUGAAUCUAAGUUAACUCUAAAAAUGAUAAAAACAAGCAAAAUUCAAAUAAAAUAUAAUUAAUUCGAAAAACUAUAAGAUAUAAUAAAAAGUAAUCUAAAUGCUAAAUUUACUUUUUACAAUAAAAUAUUAUGAUUGUUUUUGUUUUUCUUUGUUAUUUUUGGUAUAUUUCAUGUUUCUUCUUUUUACUUGAAUUUUGAGAUUUCUUUUAGGUUAUGUUAGAUUAUAUUUUAGAAUUCUUUGACCUAGAUCUUAAGAAUCAAAUAACAUAAUUUUUUUUAAAAAAAUCAGAUCUUAGGACUUAAAUAGGUUAAAGUUUUAUUUUUCUCAUUUAUAUUUUAGGAUUCAAAUAGGUUAAAUUUUACUUUUCUAAUUUAGAUCUUAAGGUUCAAAUAGGGUAGAAAUUUGUUUUUUCUAAUUUAAAUCUUAGGAUUAAAUUUUAUUUUUUCUAAUUCGGUAAACUAAAAAAUAGUCACUUUUGUUUGUCUCAGAUUACAUUUUAGUCACUUAUGUUUGAAAUAUACAUUUUAGUUACUUACAUUAUCGUUUUGUUACGAAGUGAUCACUCUACCGUUAAACUCUGUUACCUCACUAACGACAAUCCUACAUGGCAAUCCAAAUGGGUUUUAAAUGUCAACUUGGAUGUUUAGUUGUUGGGAUAAAAAUAGGUUUUUAAUUAAAUAAAUUUAAUUUAGACUGUGACUAAAACGUAACAUUUCAAACCUAAGUGACUAAAAUGUAAUGUGAAGCAAACAAAAGUAACUAUUUUUAUGGUUUACCCUUUCUAAUUUAAAUCUCAGGAUUUAAACAGGUUAGAAUUUCUUUUUCUUUUUUUUUUUUAAUUUAGAUGCUAGGUUGAUAUAGGUUAACUUUCUCUUUCCCUACUUAGAUCUUAGGCUAUAGAGGUUAGAAUUUUAAUUUUCUAUCAAUUAAAUCAUAGGUUCUUAUAGGUUAGAAUUUAAACUUCCAUUAUUAGGUUAGAAUUAAAAUUGAUUAGCUCUUAGGAUUCAAUGGGUAUUUUGAUUUUUUUUAAUAGUAUUGAAUUUUGAGCCUGUAAUGACAAUAUAUCGCAAAGAAAAGUGAAAGAAAAAUAAAGAAAAUAGAUUUUUACGUGGAAACUUUUCCGGGAAAAAAUUACGGGCAGAUAAAAUGAAAAUCCACUAUGUCGAAUUCAAAUAAUUACAAGAGGAGUAGACUAUGUCUAUUUAUAGGCUUGUAAAAUCAUAUUCUAAAAGGAGUGUAAUAAGUAAUCAAUAUCAAAUAGAUGGAGUUUAAUAAGAUUUAAAAAACCUUAUUCUAAAAUAAAAUAAAAGAAGUGUAGUUUUAUAUGUAGGGGCGUAGCCAGGGGGCUGGCAUGGGCCCCGGCCCCCCUAAAAUAGAAAAUUACAUUUUAGGCCCUUAAAAUUUUUAAAAAUUUUAAAUUAGUAAAGGUAAAAUUGCACUUUGGCCUCCCCUCUAAAAUUAUAAAAAUUCAAUUUAAUCCUUUACAAAUUAUAAAAAUAUAAACUAUAAAAAAUUAAAAUUUCAUCCGGCCCCCCUAAAAAAAUUUUCUGGCUUCGGCCCUGUUUAUAUGGAUUUUACUUUUAUUUUAUUUUACCACUAUAUUUUAUUUAAAUAAAAAUUCGAGUCACUCAAUUCUAACAGAGCUUUUAAAAGGUUAAAUUUCGAUUUAGGAUUAUUGGAGUCAAUUUUGAGAUUUUUGAAUUAGAAAUAUUAAACACCGAAUUUUGUAAGAUUAUCUUUAGACAGGCGUUGUAGGAAUGCUAUAAUCUUUUUUACAUUUAAUUGUACUCUCGAACUUCAAUUUUGAUACGAGCCCGAAUCUAGUUUUUUAAGAUUUUUCCUUAAGAAUAGUUCUAAAAUUGUAGGCAAUAGGCAACUACCUGACUUAGUUUAAGUUGGUUAGUGAUGAUUCUAUUUAUGUUUAGGUUUCAAAUUGUACAUUAAACUAAAAUUAAUGUAUAAUUUAUAAAUCUGAUAUUUAUUUUUAAAUUUUAUUUAAAAUAAUUUUUUAUUUGAUUUUAUAUUAUGUUGUGUAUUCAAAUUUUAAUGGAUUUACAUAUUCGACGAAUAAUAAUACUUAAUUCAAUAUAAGGUUAGUGAGAGUAUACCACAUGCGAGUCCUCAAACUACCCAAGAGGUGCUCAACUAUAGGUUAUAUAUGUGCAUUAUUUGGACAACUUUCCAUGAAUUCGUCAUUGUUCUCUUUUCGAAAUUUAGAGUUUAAACUUUCUAAUUGUUAUUACAUUGUGAUUUAAACUAAUUUUUUAUUAAAUUAAUCUUUAAACUAAUAAUUGCUCCUAUAUUUAAGUCUUAAUUUUUUUCUUUAAGUUAAUAUUUGAAAUUAAUUGUUUUUAAAUUGAGGUUUGAAUUUUCUUUAUUUAACUUUUUUUUUAAAACAAAUAUAAAGGACUAAUUUUGAUAGAAAAAUUUUAAGCUGUGAAAACAAUUUUUAAAUUCAGGGAUAAGAAAAGGUUACAAAACCAAAUUAAAUAUUAAUAAUUGAGCUUUGAAAGAAAUAAUCUCUUAAUAAAAUAGUUUUUAAUUGAUUGAGGAUAGAGUGAUGUAACUCAGUGGAAUCUUUUCGAAGUUAAAAUUGAAGUAAAUGAUUGAAUAGAAUUUAUAAAAGUAUUUUUUUGAAGUUCUUGAGAAAAGUUAAAUGAUAUUUUCAUUAAAAAUUAAGUAAUUACUUAAUUAAUGCAUGACAAUGACUAUAUUGGGCUAUAAGUAACUUGUUUUAGUAGUAUGUUAGUCAAUUCAAAUGAGAGAAAAGAAGAGAUCAAGAACUAUAUUAGAACAAUAAAAACAUACAUUGAUUAAACAAUAGCUACAACUCUAUUCGUCCAAGUAAACACGAUACAAAAUAUGACGCAACACCAUCAUCAACACUGAACCCUCCAUUAAUGACAAUCCAAAGCUUUAGUAUGUUUCUUGGGAAAUCCAUUCAUCCCAACACCCAUGAAACUUUGCUUCUAAACCUAGGCGCUCUUCUUUGGUGGUGUAUUGCCAUAUUUCCAAGUGAAUUGCUUUAAAUCAUCAGGAUAAGUACCCCCUGCAACCUCUUGGAUUGGGAUCGCAUCUGAAAUUUCUUUCAAAUCUUCUUUUGUCAGCUUUACUUUCACUGAUUCAAUGUUGCUGUCUAGAUUUUUAAUCUUGGUUGUUCCUGUAAGAAGUGAAAACAAUGUGUCAAAAGCUUUGGUUUUAAAUCUCAAUGCAAACUGGCCGUUGGUCCAGGAACUUGUAUCGGAGUGUCCAACACGGAUAUGUUCAUUUUCCUAAGGUUUUACAUAUAUCUGGAGGAAUAUGCUAGAAAAGUCUAUGCUAUUUCUGCAGGUUACUAACUUACUCUGACUGUUUUUUCUUCGAGUAUCCGUGUCUAAUACCCAACAUAUUUUGACAUGAGUAUUGAAACAAUCCUCCAAAUAUAUGAAAAACUUCAAAAAAUAUAAGAGUUCACUUAUAUUGUAUCACCUCGGAUUCCGAGUUGAAAGUGAUUGAAUGGGACUUACCGGGAAUAGGAGAAACAUCAUCCCCUUGGUGAAGAACCCAGGCAAGUGCAAGUUGUGCCGGUGUACAUCCAUGCUUUUCAGCCAACUUCUCUACUUUCGAAUAUAGGAUCCUAUUUUGCUCCAAGUUUUCUCCUUGAAACCUUGGGUACACUUCCUUAAAAAAUAAAUGUUUGUAAUGAGUCAACGUUUGUAAUGAGUCAACCGAUCUGUUUUUUACAACUUAGAAGCAUGUUACUAUGUUAUCCGAACUCUUCAUUUUCUUUAAUUACUCAUAUCCAACAUGUCUCUGACACAUAAUUGGAUAUAAGUAUGAGAGUAACAUCCUUCAAAUAAAUGAAAAUGAAACUUAAAAAAAAACUGAAUAUAUUCAUGCCGGACACAUAUCUGUAUCCAACACUUACUCCUGAACCCAUAUAACAUAGAUUAAGUAUAGGUUAAAGCCAUAUAAAGUGAGUUUCCAUACCAGAGAACUAUUCGAGGUAUCCUCCUUUGCUUUACCGGCAAAGAAACCAUGACCAAGGGGACUAUAUGCAACAAUCCCAAUUCCGAGUUCCCUGUAUUGUUGAACACAUUUAGGCAGGCAUAACCUCACAGCAGUUGAAGGAGUUAAAACAGUUGAUAACUUGAGAAAAGACAAUCAAUAAGUGAAUUUCAAUAUAUUUGAGCAAAAGGGUAUAUUUAUAUCCCUCCAAAUAUAUAAAAAUUUGAAUAUAUCUAUAUUCGAAUAAAAAAAAAAGUUAACGAUGAUUGAAGAUAGAAGAACAAACCUGCAAAGGGGAAUUAGUUCUUCCUCAACAUCACGAGUCCAAAGCGACCACUCAAGUUGUACGGCAGUAAGAGGAUGAACAGCGUGUGCCCUCCUUAUAGUUUCGGGGCUAGCUUCAGAUAUACCA
Molecule: long non-coding RNA, 41927 nt
Filed under: Gossypium barbadense (sea-island cotton)
Lineage: Eukaryota; Viridiplantae; Streptophyta; Magnoliopsida; Malvales; Malvaceae
Description: long non-coding RNA (GBAR_LNC007767)
Source: RNAcentral